GCUUAUUUGAGAAAUAUUAAGAAUGGGGCCACAGUUUGGGUUUUAGCAACUGAUUGGAAAGUGAUGCCAUUCACAUUGGACACGUUUAAAUUUGAGACGCUAGUGGAACAACCAUGUAUAGACACCUACUCGGCAAUCCUGCAUAUGAUCUCAACAUCAGAAGAGAGAUGUGGGCUGAUGACACAGAACUGAGAAUAGCCAGCGUUGCCACUGGGAGUAACCAUCACAUAUGUGGCAAAAAAGGCCAUUGGCGCAGAUAUAAUCACCCAGGCGGGAUGUGUAAAAUGGAAAAAGAAGGCAACCUAGAAGCAGGAUUCAACGUAUCAGAUACAGUAAUGAAGACAAUAAGAAAUUGGAUUGAUCCAGGUCUGGAGUUUUGCCACAGAGUGAAAUGGAACAACAAUAUGCAGGAGAAGUGAGGAUACUGAAUUCUACUUGAAAAUUAUACAGAAACAAUUUCUUAGAAUGCUCACAAAAGACCUGAAAACAUGGGGAGGAAGCAGGGCAUUUACAGCAGGUCUUCUCUGACACUGUGCUGGUGGGCAGGGAGCCACCUCAUUACUACCAGGCACAGCUUAUAACUCAUGCAAAACAACAUGCUGCAAUGUUCUGAUGAAAUGCUCCUCUACAGUCGAGGCUCCCAGAAGGCAGAGAGCAUAUUCAUUAACUCAUUCUGCUCAACACUUAGCUCAUGUCCAUGGAGAGAUGUUGAAUAUGAGCUCCUAUUAAAAAGAGGGAAUACAAUCAAUCAUUUGAGAAUGUCCAAAAAGAACUUUUCCUUUCCAUCGAGCCUUACAAAUUAUUCUAAGAUUGUUUCUGUAAAUACCAUGUAAUUGGGAGAGAUACACAGGGAGCGUCAAUUGUGUCUGUAAUGUUUUACUGCUUAUGAUAAAAAGAUCUGAAACUAAUGUGACAAAAUACUAAGAUUUCACAGAAUUCAGUGUUGAGUGUCCUCUAAGUUAUUAUCUUUAUUCUUCAAAUAUUUCAUAAGGAAAAAGAUGGUGGGAACUUACAAUAUUUAUUAUUUUUUUGGAGAAUGGCUGGAUAAUAUACAUUGAAAUCUGCUAAGAAUUUACCAGAAGGAAGGAAAGAGAAACACACACACACACACACACACACACAGAGAGAGAGACAGAGAGAGAGAGAGAGGAAAAAAAAAUAUAUCCUUGGAAUGCCAAGCCCAAAGAUGCAAGUCUAUCUGCCGAUUUAUAAAAGCAAAUAAAGAGAAACCAUCUAA
RNAcentral lists this long non-coding RNA (1237 nucleotides) under Homo sapiens (human). RNAcentral's name for it is "HSALNT0192101". Lineage: Eukaryota; Metazoa; Chordata; Mammalia; Primates; Hominidae. The record is from RNAcentral.